RNAcentral lists this ribosomal RNA (248 nucleotides) under uncultured Ruminiclostridium sp. RNAcentral describes it as "partial 16S ribosomal RNA". It matches the Rfam family "Bacterial small subunit ribosomal RNA", at positions 524 to 771 of the family's 1533-position model. The record is from RNAcentral. Lineage: Bacteria; Bacillati; Bacillota; Clostridia; Eubacteriales; Oscillospiraceae.
UACGUAGGGAGCGAGCGUUGUCCGGAUUUACUGGGUGUAAAGGGUGCGUAGGCGGUUUUGCAAGUCAGAAGUGAAAUCCAUGGGCUUAACCCAUGAACUGCUUUUGAAACUGCAGGACUUGAGUGCAGAAGAGGAGAGUGGAACUCCAUGUGUAGCGGUGAAAUGCGUAGAUAUAUGGAAGAACACCAGUGGCGAAAGCGGCUCUCUGGUCUGUAACUGACACUGAAGCACGAAAGCGUGGGGAUCAA